GAUAAUAUAUUUAACUUUUUAAAAAAGUGCAAAAAUAACCAAUCAUUUUACUUCUUAAUUUUCAACACCAAAAUUUAUGGCUAACACAACAAAUUUGAACAUUAUAUUUGAAGCACUUUCACUCAUUCCCAAGAUUCAUUUUGUUGAAAAAAUUCAAAAAAAGUCAAAAAGAUUCAACAUUUUGUCCAAAAAAAAUCAAGAAGUUGAAGAAAAUUUACAAAUAAAAACUACAAGAAGACUAGCAUUAAGCAUUGGUAUAAUUGCUACAUUUGCAAAUUCAAGAAUUGGAGAUUGCCUUGCUGAUGAUAAUAAUGGAUUUUUUAUCAAUGGUCCAUUGCCAGUCCCUUCAGUAUCCAAUGACAUUAUAAACAAGGAGACAGGUACAAGAUCAUUUCUCAAGAAAGGAAUGUACAUUGCUAACAUUGGAACGAAAGGGAGAAUUCAUAGACUAAAAAGAUAUGCAUUUGAUCUAUUGGCAUUAGGGGAUUUGAUUGGAACAGAUGCUUGGAAUUAUGUGAGGAAGUAUUUGAGGAUUAAGUCUACCUUCAUGUACUAUGAUUUCGAUGAAGUUAUUACUGCUGCAGAAGUGAAUGAUAAGCAACCUCUUACUGAUCUUGCUAAUCGAUUAUUCGACAAUGUUGAGAAGGAUCUGAUGACAUAUGUUAACCGGUCCAGACAGUAUUUUUCAAGUGUCUGAGCAACAUAGGUUUUGAAGGAUCUGAUAUAUGUUCACUGGUCGAGACAGUAUGUUUCAAGUGUCCGAGCAACAUAGCUUGAAGAUGCUGUGAAGAAAAAGAACCUGCCUCAAACACAGACAUGUUAUCAAGAAACAACAAACAUUCUCCAAGAAGUCAUGGACAAAAUGGCAUAAACCAAAACACAUGUUUUAUAUUCUGUUGUCAUGUGGAAAGUAGUCAUUUUGCUUACAGCAAAACAAAAUGUUUCUUGUAAAUUAUGAAUACUGUCAAAGAACACUUUGUUGGAAAUUCAAAAUGAACAUGUCAAAAAUAA
Capsicum annuum is the source of this 1011-nucleotide RNA transcript. It is a transcript of the gene named photosynthetic NDH subunit of lumenal location 3, chloroplastic, with no coding region annotated. Lineage: Eukaryota; Viridiplantae; Streptophyta; Magnoliopsida; Solanales; Solanaceae. The record is from RefSeq and is a predicted model, not a curated record. The transcript is spliced from 5 exons.